AAGCAUCGCCAGGCAGCGACAAGUCCGG
Molecule: small RNA, 28 nt
Filed under: Bombyx mori (domestic silkworm)
Lineage: Eukaryota; Metazoa; Arthropoda; Insecta; Lepidoptera; Bombycidae
Description: ovarian small RNA-10569
Source: RNAcentral